AUUGAACGCUGGCGGCAGGCUUAACACAUGCAAGUCGAGCGGAGAUGAGGUGCUUGCACCUUAUCUUAGCGGCGGACGGGUGAGUAAUGCUUAGGAAUCUGCCUAUUAGUGGGGGACAACAUUCCGAAAGGAAUGCUAAUACCGCAUACGUCCUACGGGAGAAAGCAGGGGAUCUUCGGACCUCGCGCUAAUAGAUGAGCCUAAGUCGGAUUAGCUAGUUGGUGGGGUAAAGGCCUACCAAGGCGACGAUCUGUAGCGGGUCUGAGAGGAUGAUCCGCCACACUGGGACUGAGACACGGCCCAGACUCCUACGGGAGGCAGCAGUGGGGAAUAUUGGACAAUGGGGGGAACCCUGAUCCAGCCAUGCCGCGUGUGUGAAGAAGGCCUUAUGGUUGUAAAGCACUCUAAGCGAGGAGGAGGCUACUGAGACUAACACUCUUGGAUAGUGGACGUUACUCGCAGAAUAAGCACCGGCUAACUCUGUGCCAGCCGCCGCAGUAA
Molecule: ribosomal RNA, 501 nt
Filed under: uncultured bacterium
Lineage: Bacteria
Description: partial 16S ribosomal RNA
Rfam family: Bacterial small subunit ribosomal RNA
Source: RNAcentral